RNAcentral lists this ribosomal RNA (639 nucleotides) under uncultured Alphaproteobacteria bacterium. Its description in RNAcentral is "bacterial SSU rRNA". It matches the Rfam family "Bacterial small subunit ribosomal RNA", at positions 26 to 691 of the family's 1533-position model. Lineage: Bacteria; Pseudomonadati; Pseudomonadota; Alphaproteobacteria. The record is from RNAcentral.
AGCGCAAACGCUGGCGGCAGGCCUAACACAUGCAAGUCGAACGAAGCCUUCGGGCUUAGUGGCGCACACGGGUGAGUAACACGUGGGAACGUACCUUUCGGUGGGGAAUAACCUCGGGAAACUGAGGCUUUAAUACCGCAUACGCCCUUUUGGGGAAAGAUUUAUCGCCGAGAGAUCGGCCCGCGUCCGAGAUUAGCUAGUUGGUGAGGUAACGGCUCACCAAGGCUACGAUCGGUAGCUGGUCUGAGAGGACAUGAUCAGCCACACUGGGACUGAGACACGGCCCAGACUCCUACGGGAGGCAGCAGUGGGGAAAAUAUUGGACAAUGGGCGCAAGCCUGAUCCAGCCAUGCCGCGUGAGUGAUGAAGGCCUUAGGAGGUUGUAAAGCUCUUUCGACGGGGACGAUGAUGACGGUACCCGUAGAAGAAGCCCCGGCUGCAACUCCGUGCCAGCAGCCGCGGUAAUACGGAGGGGGCUAGCGUUGUUCGGAAUUACUGGGUACGUAAAGGGCGCGUAGGCGGCGAUUUAAGUUAGGCGUGAAAGCCCCGGGCUUAACCUGGGACAACUGCGCUUGAUACUGGAUUGCUUGAGGACGGAAGAGGGUAGUGGAAUACCCAGUGUAGGCAGGUGAAAUUCGU